RNAcentral lists this ribosomal RNA (370 nucleotides) under Euscorpiops montanus. RNAcentral's name for it is "partial large subunit ribosomal RNA". Lineage: Eukaryota; Metazoa; Arthropoda; Arachnida; Scorpiones; Euscorpiidae. The record is from RNAcentral.
AAUCAUUUGUCUUUUAAUUUGGGACUGGAAUGAAUGGCUUAACUAAUUUAUUUUGUCUCAUUUCAAUAUUUUGAAUUUUAUAUUUUAGUAAAAAAGCUAAAAUUAACUUUAUAGACGAGAAGACCCUAUCAAGCUUUAUAAUCAAAAUUUAUUUUCAAAAUAAAUCCAAAAUUAUUACACUGGGGCAGUGAACAGAAAUCUUCUGUUUUAUAAAUGUGAUAUAUACAUCUUGGAGUAUCAAAAAUUUUUUAAUAAAGAAUAAGUUACUGUAGGGAUAACAGCAUAAUUUUUUUUAAGAGAUCUCAUCAUCAAAAAAGUUUGUGACCUCGAUGUUGGAUUAAGAUACCUAAUUCACGCAAUAGUAAAAUAA